Molecule: ribosomal RNA, 309 nt
Filed under: uncultured eukaryote
Lineage: Eukaryota
Description: partial 18S ribosomal RNA
Rfam family: Eukaryotic small subunit ribosomal RNA
Source: RNAcentral
CCCUUAGAUGUUCUGGGCCGCACACGCGCUACAAUGGUGCAUUCAACAAGUCAACCAAAGCCGAUAGGUGGAGGUAAACUCGUAGUAUUCGCCGUGAUGGGGAUAGACCCUUGUAAUUAUUGGUCUCCAACGAGGAAUUCCUAGUAGACGCAAGUCAUCAACUUGCAUCGAUUACGUCCCUGCCCUUUGUACACACCGCCCGUCGCACCUACCGAUUGAAUGGUCCGGUGAAGUCUUCGGACAGUGGCAGUUUACUGCUACUGAAAGUUGAGUGAACCUUACCAUUUAGAGGAAGGUGAAGUCGUAACA